GACGAACGCGGCGGCGUGCCUAAUACAUGCAAGUAGAACGCACAGUUUAUACCGUAGCUUGCUACACCAUAGACUGUGAGUUGCGAACGGGUGAGUAACGCGCAGGUAACCUGCCUGGUAGCGGGGGAUAACUAUUGGAAACGAUAGCUAAUACCGCAUAAUAUUAAUUAUUGCAUGAUAAUUAAUUGAAAGGUGCAAUUGCACCACUACCGGAUGGACCUGCGUUGUAUUAGCUAGUAGGUGAGGUAACGGCUCACCUAGGCGACGAUACAUAGCCGACCUGAGAGGGUGAUCGGCCACACUGGGACUGAGACACGGCCCAGACUCCUACGGGAGGCAGCAGUAGGGAAUCUUCGGCAAUGGACGAAAGUCUGACCGAGCAACGCCGCGUGAGUGAAGAAGGUUUUCGGAUCGUAAAGCUCUGUUGUAGGAGAAGAACGGGUGUGAGAGUGGAAAGUUCACACUGUGACG
Molecule: ribosomal RNA, 471 nt
Filed under: Streptococcus gordonii
Lineage: Bacteria; Bacillati; Bacillota; Bacilli; Lactobacillales; Streptococcaceae
Description: bacterial SSU rRNA
Rfam family: Bacterial small subunit ribosomal RNA
Source: RNAcentral